RNAcentral lists this ribosomal RNA (529 nucleotides) under uncultured Piloderma. Its description in RNAcentral is "eukaryotic LSU rRNA". The stretch from base 117 to 271 matches the Rfam family "5.8S ribosomal RNA". The record is from RNAcentral. Lineage: Eukaryota; Fungi; Basidiomycota; Agaricomycetes; Atheliales; Atheliaceae.
GUGACCCUAUUGUAACGGGCCCGUGAAAAGGCCUUUACGUCUUUAUAAACCCAUCGUAUGUCUCAUAGAAUGUAAUUAUAUGUCCUCGCCUUAAAAAAGCGUUGAUAAACUUAUACAACUUUCAACAACGGAUCUCUUGGCUCUCGCAUCGAUGAAGAACGCACCGAAAUGCGAUAAGUAAUGUGAAUUGCAGAUUUUCAGUGAAUCAUCGAAUCUUUGAACGCACCUUGCGCUCCUUGGUAUUCCGAGGAGCAUGCCUGUUUGAGUGUCAUUAAAUUCUCAACCCCGAUCGAUUUGUUUCGACUUCGGGGCUUGGAUCUGGAGCGUGCUGGCGUCGGUCGGCUCCUCUUAAAUGCAUCAGCGGAAUCUAACGUUUCGGACGUCAGUGUGAUAAUCAUGUUGCGCUGUCUGUCUGAUCCGAAAGCCCGCUCACAAUGGUCUUCGGACAACUUUAUCAAAUUUGACCUCAAAAUCAGGUAGGACUACCCGCUGAACUUAAGCAUAUCAAUAAANCGGAGGAAAAAGAAAA